Non-coding RNA from Dipodomys ordii (Ord's kangaroo rat), 65 nucleotides. Lineage: Eukaryota; Metazoa; Chordata; Mammalia; Rodentia; Heteromyidae. The record is from Rfam.
GGUGGCUCAGUAGUAGAGUGCUUGCCUUGCAUGCAUGAUACCCUGGGUUUGAUUCCUCAGCACCA